Molecule: ribosomal RNA, 510 nt
Filed under: uncultured bacterium
Lineage: Bacteria
Description: partial 16S ribosomal RNA
Rfam family: Bacterial small subunit ribosomal RNA
Source: RNAcentral
GACGAACGCUGGCGGCGUCCUUAACACAUGCAAGUCGAACGAAGAGCGAUGGAAGCUUGCUUCUAUCAAUCUUAGUGGCGAACGGGUGAGUAACGCGUAAUCAACCUGCCCUUCAGAGGGGGACAACAGUUGGAAACGACUGCUAAUACCGCAUACGAUCCAAUCUCGGCAUCGGGACUGGAUGAAAGGUGGCCUCUAUUUAUAAGCUAUCACUGAAGGAGGGGAUUGCGUCUGAUUAGCUAGUUGGAGGGGUAACGGCCCACCAAGGCGAUGAUCAGUAGCCGGUCUGAGAGGAUGAACGGCCACAUUGGGACUGAGACACGGCCCAGACUCCUACGGGAGGCAGCAGUGGGGAAUCUUCCGCAAUGGACGAAAGUCUGACGGAGCAACGCCGCGUGAGGGAUGACGGCCGUCGGGUUGUAAAGCUCUGUUAAUCGGGACGAAUGGUUCUUGUGCGAAUAGGGCGAGGAUUUGACGGUACCGGAAUAGAAAGCCACGGCUAACUACGUG